ACAGUCAGGACAGCUGGAUGGUGACAAGGGCAGAGAUUGGGGAAGAGAGGCCACAUGGUGGGAUAAACUACACCGGGCAUGGGAAUUAGGCUCUAUUUUGCAUUGGGGUGGGUGCUUUAAGGAAUGCACUCCUUAACAUCACCCCUAUCCCACCUGCCCCAUGCGUGUUGGUACUACAACCACUGCAGGUGGAGACUAGGCUGGGGAAAAUGCCCUCUGGGUGUACAGGCUCGGCCCAAGUCUCUCAUGCCCCCUGGCAGCCUUGCCUAGGGUCGUAGCCUCCCCUUUUAGCAAUGUGAAUAGCAUAGGUGGGGUCAGACAAGGUGCCGACCCCUCUGGUCACACUUUCUAGUCUUCGGGGUCCCCGGAGUUGUCAUCCAGCGACCUGCUCGAAGCCUUCAGGUGUGUGUGUGUGUGUGCGCGCGCGUGCGCGUGAGCGCAUGGCCAAGCAUGUUCUCACACCCAUUUACCCACAGUUUGAUGUCUGCCUCUUUCUUCCUCUUAGCACAAGAGCCUUCCUGGAUCAGACCAAAGAUACUGUUCUUUGUCCCCACCCAACACCUGGUGUUGAGAUCUUUGCCAGGCCACACACACAAAUCAAUUCCAAUUUUGACCUUGCCCAAAGUUUUCAACCCACAGAAGCUAAAAAGAGGUACAAGACUAAAAACAAAACCAGGAGAGAGAGGGGGGGGAGGGGGAGAGAGAGAGAGCGCACAAUCAGCAAGAAUCCCUCACCUCUGGCCAAGGGGGAAUCUGAUGAGCAGUGGAGCCAGCCCUUUAUCUGGAGGAACACCACAGUCUGAAAACUCCAGUUGCCUGUGAGAGUCCCCUUCCAGUAUCCUGAGCCCUCAUUUUGCUCAAUGUGAUGUUCCGAGGCACCAGCACGGUCAAACUUGCAACAACUUCAGCUCCUGGCUUGCUACUGCUGUGCACAGCAGGGUCCUUACUCGACUUCUGGACUGCCUAACCAGGUGAAUGUUCUGCACAGUCAUCAUCCUGAAAUAAGGAUUGUCCAGACCAUCUUCCUGCCUCGAGGUGGUCUUUUCUACUUGCCACAGAUUUGUUCCAAGAAGCAUCAACCUGAUAUUUACCUUCUGGGGGAAGGCAACACCUUAUUUAUUCAUGAAAAAAGGUUUCUUUUUCUUUUUCUUUUUUUAAAAUUAUUGCUGAGGUCACACAAGGCGUACAGAACAUGAGAGAUUGCUUAACAUGAAAUUAAGUUUCUGGGAUAUACUUUUUUUCCAAACAUGCAUUUAAAUGUAAAUAAAAUUUCAUUUUUCAGCAAUCGC
Molecule: long non-coding RNA, 1289 nt
Organism: Hemicordylus capensis (graceful crag lizard)
Lineage: Eukaryota; Metazoa; Chordata; Lepidosauria; Squamata; Cordylidae
Exons: 2
Source: RefSeq, a predicted model, not a curated record